GUCCUUUUGAAUUUUAUUUAAGGUCUGACCUGCCCACUGAUUUAUUUAAUGGCCGCGGUAUUUUGACCGUGCAAAGGUAGCAUAAUAAUUUGUCUUUUAAUUGAAGGCUCGUAUGAAUGGUUGGACGAGAAAACUUCUUUCUUUAUUAUAAUUUAAUGAAUUUUAUUUUUUAGUUAAAAAGCUGAAAUGUUGUUGUAGGACGAGAAGACCCUAUAGAACUUUAUAUUUAUUUUUAUAUUAAUAUUUUUAGGUUAUAAUUUAUUAUAUAAUUAUAAUUAUUUUGUUGGGGCGACAAGAAAAUUUAUUUAACUUUUUUUUUUUAUUUCACUAAUUGGUGUUUAUAUGAUCCUAUAUUACGGAUAAUUAGAAUAAGUUACCUUAGGGAUAACAGCGUAAUUUUUUUGGAGAGUUCUUAUCGAUAAAGAAGUUUGCGA
This 434-nucleotide ribosomal RNA is filed under the name Hesperocorixa lucida. Its description in RNAcentral is "partial large subunit ribosomal RNA". It matches the Rfam family "Archaeal large subunit ribosomal RNA", at positions 1911 to 2592 of the family's 2987-position model. The record is from RNAcentral. Lineage: Eukaryota; Metazoa; Arthropoda; Insecta; Hemiptera; Corixidae.